This 94-nucleotide transfer RNA is filed under the name Clostridioides difficile. RNAcentral describes it as "tRNA-Ile(tat)". Lineage: Bacteria; Bacillati; Bacillota; Clostridia; Peptostreptococcales; Peptostreptococcaceae. The record is from RNAcentral. RNAcentral also lists the same sequence under 1 other name.
UCGCUCUUGGAGCAGGCUUAGGCAUUUGGGGCGUUAUCAAUCUUCUGGAGGGAUAUGGUAACGACAAUCCGGGUGCGAAAUCCCAGGGCAUGAA